RNAcentral lists this long non-coding RNA (3565 nucleotides) under Sus scrofa (pig). RNAcentral describes it as "lncRNA (ENSSSCG00005016309.1)". The record is from RNAcentral. Lineage: Eukaryota; Metazoa; Chordata; Mammalia; Artiodactyla; Suidae.
GGACAUGGGUUUGAUCCCUGGUCCCACUCAGUGGGUUAAGAUCUGGUGUUGCUCUGAGCUGCAGUGUAGGUCACAGAUGAGGCUCGGAUCUGAUGUGGCUGUGGCGUGGGCCAGCAGCUUCACUUCAAUUCGACCCCUAGCCUGGGAACUCCCAUAUGCCACAGGAAUGACCCUAAAAAUACAAAAAAAAAAAAAAAGGUAAAAAUAUAUCCCUCCCCUAGUUAAUGUUUUGGUAUGUAUCUUUCUGGCCAUUUCCUGGAUUUACUAUUUAGAAAUUUAUCAGUAAUAAAAGAUGGGACUUGCUUCCAGUAUCAGGAGAAGGUUUCUUAGUGGAAUAGUGUAUCAUUUGCCGUUACCAUAGGCAAACUCUGGGACAUUUCUGUUCUGUAGUUGAGGAAACUGAAGCUUAAAAAAGUGAUUUGCUCAAGAUCUUACUACCAGUAAGCUGCAAAACUCAUUUCAGAAUCUGUGUCUGGGUUCGGAGUCCAUGUGUGCGUGCCCUUUGGCUGCUUCAUGCUGCAGGAGCUGUGGGGACAGAGGCGGGAGUCAUUGACUCACUGGAAGGAGGCUCUUAAAGAAGGGACGAUUGAGCAGGUCUUCACAGAAGAGUCUGAGUUAAUCACAUGGUGAGAGUGAGCAGGGAACUAGCAUUCCAGUCAUGGCACCAGCUGGGGCAAACACCUGAGGCCCAAAGCAUAUUUGGGGAGUGGGGAGAAGUUCACUGUCACUGGUGGUAGCAGGUGAAAGUGAGGUGGAUGUGGAGCUAGAAAGUCUAUUGGUGUCAGAGCUGAAAGAUCUUUUUUUUUUUUUAAUGUUUAUUGAAUUAAUGAAUAUAUAAUUCACUUUGGAGAAUUAGGGAUUUGAUGUAUUACUCCUCUUAUGAGUCUGUCAAUUUCUUUUCUUUCUUUCUUCUUCUUCUUUUUUUUUUUUUUUUGGUCUCUUUUCUAGGGCCACACCCCUGGCAUAGGGAGGCUCCCAGGCUGGGGGUCUAAUCCGAGCUGUAGCUGCCAGCCUACAGCAAUGCAGGAUCCAGAGCCGCGUCUUAGACCUACACCACAGCUCACGGCAACACUGGAUCCUUAACCCACUGAGCUAGGCCAGGGAUGGAACCCGCAACCUCAUGAUUCCUAGUCGGAUUCGUUAACCACUGUGCUAUGAUGGGAACUCCAGAAGCUGAAGGAUCUUAAAUUCCAUGCUAUGAAUGCUGGGGUUUUUUUUGGGUUUGUGGUUUGUUUGUUUUGACCACGCCCAAGGCAUGUGGAAGUUCCCAGGCCAGGGAUCAAACCCACGCUACAGCAGCAAUCCAAGCUGCAGCAAUGACAGCACUACGUCCUCAACCCACUGUGUCACAAGAGAACUCCUAUUUUCUUAAACUGGUUUAAGUGGGGGAACCAGAGUUUUGUUUAUUUACAAGAUUUGUCAGACAUACGGAAAAGCACAGAAUACUACUAAUAAUAGCAUCUGUGUACCCAUCCCCCAGGCUAACAGUGUCACAGUGGAUCCUCCUGAGUACCCCCCUCCCUCCACCUAGGCCCGUGCUCUCAAACACCACGCCUUUUUCUUUUCUUUUUUCGGCCAUACUCACAGUAUAUGUAAGUUCCUGGGCCAGGGAUCAAACCCAAGCUGCUGCAGUGACAACACCUGAUCCUUAACCCUCUGCGCUCAGGAGAAUUCCACACCAUGUCUUUUUUUGUGUAUAUUGUUUCUAAAAUACAUCCAUGUUCGUACAUACAGAACUAGGGAGCUAAUUUGGAAUUUUUCCAUUGUCAAUUCAUCUAAUAUAGUAAAAGAAAUAAAAGCUUGAGUUUACAAAAUCACAAGUUCCCCCUCAGGCUGGUUUGACAUGUUUGCAUUUGGGUGAAAGUAUUUCCUGAACUUUGUGGCACAGUUGAAGGUUUAUUCCUUGUACUUUGCCUAUUGCCUGGAAAAGCUGCCAUUUCCCCAAGAAGUCCAGGUUCCGUUUAGUGAGGAAUGGCAUUUAUAAACUGAAUAUCAGCUUGGUUCCUAGGAUUAUUAGUGUUUUCUUCUAAAACUAAGAUGCCUCUGUGUGUGUGUGUCUGUGUGUGUGUGAUGUUUAGCUUUCUAAUUCACCUGGAGUUUUUGUUUUGUUUUGUUUUGUUUAUAGCCAUACUUGUGGCGUAUGGAAGUUCCCAGGCCAGGGGUUGAAUUCAAGCUACCACUGCCACCUCGUAGCUGCGGCAGUGCCAGAUCCUUUAACCCACUGAGCUGGGCUGGGGAUCGAACCUGCACCUCCACAAUGACUCGAGCCAUACAGUGAAUGUGGUUAACAUUACCAAUGACGGUGUGGCUUGCCAUCCAUUCCUGACGGGGUGCACUUGAAAGAGCACAGUGUCACCUCUCUGGUGUUGCAGUCAAGAAAGUGGGACCCGAGUCUAGCAUGCAGGUUGAGCUCGACCCUGUAGAAGGAAUGGGCUGUGCUCUAUCAAGGACGCAGAAGUCAGGAAAAUGCUGGAGAGCUACCCCGGAUUGGCAAGGCACCAUUAAGACAGGACAACUUGUGCUCCUGGGUGGGAUCCUGGACCAGAAAGGGAAGAGAAACACUGUCGUGAUAGUUUGCAAGAUUGGAAUGGAUUCCAUGGAUUGGAUGGGUGGUGUAGUAUGAAUGUUCGUUUCCUGAUGUGGAGAGUUUUAUGCUGGUUAUGUAGAUGAAUGUUCUUGUUUUUGGAAAUGUACACUAGAAUAUUUAGGGGUGGUGGGGCACCAUGUCUACAGUCCUACUCUCAGGAGGGUCCAGAAGAAGCUAAUGGGUAUUUAAGCAGGGCGUAUAUAGUCAUCCCUCCGUACCUGCAGGGGUUUGGUUCCAGGACCUCCUCAGACACAGAAAUUCUUUCAUGGAUGCUCAGGUCCCUCGUGUAAAAUGGCAUAGUAUUUGCAUAUGACCUGUGCACAUCCUUCAUAUGUCAUCUCUGGAUUACUCACAAUACCUAGUACAAUGUAAAUGCUACAUAAAUAGUUGUACAUGCAAUGUGAGUACUGUAUAAAUAGUUGCUGGGCACCCAGCCAAUUCAAGCUGUGCUUGAAUCCCCCCCCCCAAUAUAUUUGAUUUGCGGUUGGUUGAAUCCAUAGACGUAGAGCCCAUAGAUACAAAGGGCUGACGGUAUAGGUAAUGAGUAUGCCUAGGUAAUGGAGUGAAUGAUAUACCAUUAAAUUUCAAAAAAUGCUGUGAGUUGGGGAAUCUUGUUGAAAGGGGUAUGUGAGCACUGUACUAUUAUAUUUUUCUGUACAUUUGAAAUUAUUUCAAAAUAAAUUCUUUUUUAAGACCCUAUUGAGAUUUUGACUAGAACAUUAUUAGUUUUACAAAUUAAUCUGUGGAAGAUUGACCUCUUUAAGAUACUGCAUCUUUCCUGUAGAUACACUCUAUGUUUCUCUGGUUAGGUGGUUUUGUUUUUGAGCCCUUUGCGGUCCUUCAGUUUUUAAUUUUGUUGCUACUAUAAAAUGAAACAGUUUUUGCCUAUAAAUGGCAACAUUAAUUGCUUUCUGAGAUCCUUUUGUCUGUGAAGGUUUAGAUAAUAUAUACUUAUACAACCUUUAAGUGAGAAAAAAA